GACGAACGCUGGCGGCGUGCUUAACACAUGCAAGUCGAACGGAAAGGCCCUGCUUUUGUGGGGUGCUCGAGUGGCGAACGGGUGAGUAACACGUGAGUAACCUGCCCUUGACUUUGGGAUAACUUCAGGAAACUGGGGCUAAUACCGGAUAGGAGCUCCUGCUGCAUGGUGGGGGUUGGAAAGUUUCGGCGGUUGGGGAUAGACUCGCGGCUUAUCAGCUUGUUGGUGGGGUAGUGGCUUACCAAGGCUUUGACGGGUAGCCGGCCUGAGAGGGUGACCGGCCACAUUGGGACUGAGAUACGGCCCAGACUCCUACGGGAGGCAGCAGUGGGGAAUAUUGCACAAUGGGCGGAAGCCUGAUGCAGCAACGCCGCGUGCGGGAUGACGGCCUUCGGGUUGUAAACCGCUUUCGCCUGUGACGAAGCGUGAGUGACGGUAAUGGGUAAAGAAGCACCGGCUAACUACGUGCCAGCAGCCGCGGUGAUACGUAGGGUGCGAGCGUUGUCCGGAUUUAUUGGGCGUAAAGGGCUCGUAGGUGGUUGAUCGCGUCGGAAGUGUAAUCUUGGGGCUUAACCCUGAGCGUGCUUUCGAUACGGGUUGACUUGAGGAAGGUAGGGGAGAAUGGAAUUCCUGGUGGAGCGGUGGAAUGCGCAGAUAUCAGGAGGAACACCAGUGGCGAAGGCGGUUCUCUGGGCCUUUCCUGACGCUGAGGAGCGAAAGCGUGGGGAGCGAACAGGCUUAGAUACCCUGGUAGUCCACGCUGUAAACGGUGGGUACUAGGUGUGGGGUCCAUUCCACGGGUUCCGUGCCGUAGCUAACGCUUUAAGUACCCCGCCUGGGGAGUACGGCCGCAAGGCUAAAACUCAAAGGAAUUGACGGGGCCCCGCACAAGCGGCGGAGCAUGCGGAUUAAUUCGAUGCAACGCGUAGAACCUUACCUGGGUUUGACAUGGAUCGGGAGUGCUCAGAGAUGGGUGUGCCUCCUUUGGGGUCGGUUCACAGGUGGUGCAUGCCUGUCGUCAGCUCGUGUCGUGAGAUGUUGGGUUAAGUCCCGCAACGAGCGCAACCCUUGUUCACUGUUGCCAGCACGUUAUGGUGGGGACUCAGUGGAGACCGCCGGGGUCAACUCGGAGGAAGGUGGGGAUGACGUCAGGUCAUCAUGCCCCUUAUGUCCAGGGCUUCACGCAUGCUACAAUGGCUGGUACAGAGAGUGGCGAGCCUGUGAGGGUGAGCGAAUCUCGGAAAGCCGGUCUCAGUUCGGAUUGGGGUCUGCAACUCGACCUCAUGAAGUCGGAGUCGCUAGUAAUCGCAGAUCAGCAACGCUGCGGUGAAUACGUUCCCGGG
RNAcentral lists this ribosomal RNA (1343 nucleotides) under uncultured bacterium. RNAcentral's name for it is "16S ribosomal RNA". It matches the Rfam family "Bacterial small subunit ribosomal RNA", at positions 28 to 1378 of the family's 1533-position model. The record is from RNAcentral.